RNAcentral lists this ribosomal RNA (432 nucleotides) under uncultured Kiloniellales bacterium. RNAcentral describes it as "bacterial SSU rRNA". It matches the Rfam family "Bacterial small subunit ribosomal RNA", at positions 29 to 505 of the family's 1533-position model. Lineage: Bacteria; Pseudomonadati; Pseudomonadota; Alphaproteobacteria; Rhodospirillales. The record is from RNAcentral.
AACGAACGCUGGCGGCAGGCCUAACACAUGCAAGUCGAGCGCCCUGUUUAUCAGGGAGCGGCGAACGGGUGAGUAACGCGUGGGAACAUGCCCUUUGGUACGGAAUAGCCUCGGGAAACUGGGAAUAAUACCGUAUAAGCCCUACGGGGGAAAGAUUUAUCGCCAAAGGAUUGGCCCGCGUUGGAUUAGCUAGUUGGUAGGGUAACGGCCUACCAAGGCUACGAUCUAUAGUUGGUUUGAGAGGAUGGUCAGCCACACUGGGACUGAGACACGGCCCAGACUCCUACGGGAGGCAGCAGUGGGGAAUAUUGGACAAUGGGGGCAACCCUGAUCCAGCCAUGCCGCGUGAGUGAAGAAGGCCCUAGGGUUGUAAAGCUCUUUCAACUGAGAAGAUGAUGACGGUAUCAGUAGAAGAAGCCCCGGCUAACUUCG